AACGAACGCUGGCGGCAUGCCUAACACAUGCAAGUCGAACGAGAUCUUCGGGUCUAGUGGCGCACGGGUGCGUAACGCGUGGGAAUCUGCCCUUUGGUUCGGAAUAACAGUUGGAAACGACUGCUAAUACCGGAUGAUGACGAAAGUCCAAAGAUUUAUCGCCAGAGGAUGAGCCCGCGUAGGAUUAGCUAGUUGGUGUGGUAAAGGCGCACCAAGGCGACGAUCCUUAGCUGGUCUGAGAGGAUGAUCAGCCACACUGGGACUGAGACACGGCCCAGACUCCUACGGGAGGCAGCAGUGGGGAAUAUUGGACAAUGGGCGAAAGCCUGAUCCAGCAAUGCCGCGUGAGUGAUGAAGGCCUUAGGGUUGUAAAGCUCUUUUACCCGGGAUGAUAAUGACAGUACCGGGAGAAUAAGCUCCUGCUAACUACGUGCCAGCCGCCGCAGUAA
RNAcentral lists this ribosomal RNA (449 nucleotides) under uncultured bacterium. Its description in RNAcentral is "partial 16S ribosomal RNA". It matches the Rfam family "Bacterial small subunit ribosomal RNA", at positions 29 to 523 of the family's 1533-position model. The record is from RNAcentral.